RNAcentral lists this ribosomal RNA (303 nucleotides) under uncultured bacterium. Its description in RNAcentral is "partial 16S ribosomal RNA". It matches the Rfam family "Bacterial small subunit ribosomal RNA", at positions 510 to 808 of the family's 1533-position model. The record is from RNAcentral.
AGCAGUAGCCGGGUAAUACGAAGGGGGCUAGCGUUGUUCGGAAUUACUGGGCGUAAAGCGCACGUAGGCGGACAUUUAAGUCAGGGGUGAAAUCCCGGGGCUCAACCCCGGAACUGCCUUUGAUACUGGGUGUCUAGAGUAUGGAAGAGGUGAGUGGAAUUCCGAGUGUAGAGGUGAAAUUCGUAGAUAUUCGGAGGAACACCAGUGGCGAAGGCGGCUCACUGGUCCAUUACUGACGCUGAGGUGCGAAAGCGUGGGGAGCAAACAGGAUUAGAUACCCCUGUAGUCCCUGUCUCUUAUACC